CGCAUCGUAAUCCGUUUCGUCCUCGAAGCGUCAGUGCGACGGGCUCCUCGGCGGCCGGGCCGUGUAUCAACACGACCCACCUACAGACCUGAGCUCAGACUGGAUUACCCGCUGAAUUUAAGCAUAUUAGUGAGCGGAGGAAAAGAAACUAAAAAGGAUUCCCUUAGUAAUGGCGAACGAACAGGGAAGAGCUCACGUCGAAAAUCAGGACUUCUUGUCCUGACUUGUGGCGUCUAGUCAUGGUUCCAGUAGCCGCGCAGGUGUAAGUCCCUUGGCAACGGGCAUGAUAGAGGGUGAGAAUCCCGUCUGACAUCUNNNNNNNNNAUUUGCGCAAGUCCCGCGUACGGGCCGUGUUCACAGAGUCGUGUACCCUGAGAUGGGAGCGCAAAGUUGGUGGUACAUUCCAUCUGAAGCUCAAUACUGACUCGAGACCGAUAGCGAACAAGUACCGUGAGGGAAAGGUGCAAAGUACUUUGGAAAGAGAGUUAAACGUGCCUGAAACCGC
This 505-nucleotide ribosomal RNA is filed under the name Acidimicrobiales bacterium. Its description in RNAcentral is "partial 23S ribosomal RNA". The stretch from base 85 to 505 matches the Rfam family "Eukaryotic large subunit ribosomal RNA", at positions 1 to 408 of the family's 3401-position model. Lineage: Bacteria; Bacillati; Actinomycetota; Acidimicrobiia; Acidimicrobiales. The record is from RNAcentral.